This 253-nucleotide ribosomal RNA is filed under the name uncultured bacterium. RNAcentral describes it as "partial 16S ribosomal RNA". It matches the Rfam family "Bacterial small subunit ribosomal RNA", at positions 524 to 776 of the family's 1533-position model. The record is from RNAcentral.
UACGUAGGGUGCGAGCGUUAAUCGGAAUUACUGGGCGUAAAGCGUGCGCAGGCGGUGAUGUAAGACAGAUGUGAAAUCCCCGGGCUCAACCUGGGAACUGCAUUUGUGACUGCAUCGCUGGAGUGCGGCAGAGGGGGAUGGAAUUCCGCGUGUAGCAGUGAAAUGCGUAGAUAUUCGGAGGAACACCGAUGGCGAAGGCAAUCCCCUGGGCCUGCACUGACGCUCAUGCACGAAAGCGUGGGGAGCAAACAGG